AAACGCUUACUGCCACAGUAAACAUGUGUCAUUCUUGUGACAUUUCUUAUACCUCCUAUGAGCAAAGGUACAAAGUAGCGGUCAGACAGACUGCAGACCACAGCAGGUGAGUGUGCUUAGGGGCUGCAGACCACAGCUGGUGAGUGUGCUUAGGGGCUGCAGACCACAGCUGGUGAGUGUGCUUAGGGGCUGCAGACCACAGCUGGUGAGUGUGCUUAGGGGCUGCAGACCACAGCAGGUGAGUGUGCUUAGGGGCUGCAGACCACAGCUGGUGAGUGUGCUUAGGGGCUGCAGACCACAGCAGGUGAGUGUGCUUAGGGGCUGCAGACCAAAGCAGGUGAGUGUGCUUAGGGGCUGCAGACCACAGCAGGUGAGUGUGCUUAGGGGCUGCAGACCACAGCAGGUGAAUGUGCUUAAGGGCUGCCUUAUGCUGCCUGCGGUCAGUGGACGACAGCUUCGCUCGUUUGACAACUUCCCAAGUGUGCA
Molecule: long non-coding RNA, 486 nt
Organism: Brienomyrus brachyistius
Lineage: Eukaryota; Metazoa; Chordata; Actinopteri; Osteoglossiformes; Mormyridae
Exons: 4
Source: RefSeq, a predicted model, not a curated record